Molecule: ribosomal RNA, 496 nt
Filed under: uncultured bacterium
Lineage: Bacteria
Description: partial 16S ribosomal RNA
Rfam family: Bacterial small subunit ribosomal RNA
Source: RNAcentral
UUGAACGCUGGCGGCAGGCCUAACACAAGCAAGUCGAGCGCGAAAGGUCUUCGGGCUGAGUAAAGCGGCGGACGGGUGAGUAACGCGUGGGAAUCUGCCCAGUAGUGGGGGACAACAGCCGGAAACGGCUGCUAAUACCGCAUACGCCCUACGGGGGAAAGGGGGGGAUCUUCGGACCUCUCGCUAUUGGAUGAGCCCGCGUCGGAUUAGCUAGUUGGUAGGGUAAAGGCCUACCAAGGCGACGAUCCGUAACUGGUCUGAGAGGAUGAUCAGUCACACUGGAACUGAGACACGGUCCAGACUCCUACGGGAGGCGGCAGUGGGGAAUAUUGGACAAUGGGGGAAACCCUGAUCCAGCCAUGCCGCGUGUGUGAAGAAGGCCUUAGGGUUGUAAAGCACUUUCAGUGGGGAGAAAGGUUCGUCACCUAAUACGUGAUGAAAUUGAUGUUACCCACAGAAGAAGCACCGGCUAACUCCGUGCCAGCCGCCGCAGUAA